Molecule: unclassified non-coding RNA, 438 nt
Filed under: uncultured Thelephorales
Lineage: Eukaryota; Fungi; Basidiomycota; Agaricomycetes; Thelephorales
Description: sequence contains ITS2
Rfam family: 5.8S ribosomal RNA (bases 1-155)
Source: RNAcentral
AACUUUUAGCAACGGAUCUCUUGGCUCUCGCAUCGAUGAAGAACGCAGCGAAAUGCGAUAAGUAAUGUGAAUUGCAGAAUUCAGUGAAUCAUCGAACCUUUGAACGCACCUUGCGCCCCUUGGUUAUUCCUUGGGGCAUGCCUGUUUGAGUAUCAUGAACACCUCAACUCUCACGGUCUUCCGUGACGAGCUUGGACUUUGGGGGUUUGCUGGCCCUGCGGCCGGCUCCUCUCAAACGAAUCAGCUUGCCAGUGUUUGGCGGCAUCUCACGGGUGUGAUAACUAUCUCCGCUCGUCGCUGUCUGCCAGGUAACCCUCAGCGAUGAAGGUUCAUUGGGGCUCAUAAACGUCUCUCCUUGGCGAGGACAGCUUUUGAACGUUCGAUCUCAAAUCAGGUAGGACUACCCGCUGAACUUAAGCAUAUCAAUAAGCGGAGGCU